Castor canadensis (American beaver) is the source of this 1106-nucleotide non-coding RNA. NCBI's taxonomy places the organism in Eukaryota, Metazoa, Chordata, Mammalia, Rodentia, Castoridae. The record is from RefSeq and is a predicted model, not a curated record.
UCAAAGUUACCAAUUAAGGUGGGAAAUAGUCUGUGUGGAGGAAGAAGGGGUUCAAGGAGCAGCAGGACAAUGAUUUCACGGAGUCCCUUGAGAGCUCAGAAUGAUGGGGCAACAGGAGGACACUGGGGGUAGGGUGGUCAAGACUGAGCACCAAGGAAGCCCCCACCUUACUCCGGUAUCUCCUCUGCUCUCCCACACGGCCUUCCUCUCACUGCUUUUCCCUAACACAAGGUAUAGGCUGCACCUCCAAACCUCUCUUCACACUACUCCUCCUGCCUUCUUCUCCCCGUUCUUUUCUCUGCCAAAUCCCCAUUGGGACAAGGCCAUGUGUCCUUCUUCCUGCAAUACUCAAGGGGAUUCCAACCUUUCCCCGACUGAUCUUAAGCUCAGGGCAGGCAAGAACUACAUCUGGGUCCUUCGCUUACAUCUUCCCUUCAUGGUCUGGCUCUGGGCUCCCACAGGUUCAAAGCAGCCUUUCUCUGCUAUGGUUCAAAGAAGCUUUCUAAAAGGAUGCUGGGAGUAUCCCAGCAGCAAGCAAUCUGCUGUUCCACAAAUGCCCGGAAGAGGGCGCCCUCGAACAACUCAGCAACAGAGACCGCUUUCCAAGGCCUUGGAGGGAGGCAGUACAGCUACCUGGAUAAACCAUCCUUUGUGUCCGGGUCAAAAUUGUGACAUGGACCCCAGAGAAAAGGCCUCAGCAUCCCUGUUGAAUACCCAGUCCUCUCACCUCUUCACCUUUUGAUCCUUUGGGUCCCGGCCGUCCCCGGGGUCCCGGAUGCCCCUGCAAACCAAGGAUAUCCAGGGUCCCCGGUCUCUCCACGGUCUCCUCGAUCACCUACAGGGCCCUGAAUGACAAGGACAACACCAAAAUAUGGGCCAUACUUUGCGAGACUCUCUGCAGCCUCACUACUGUUCAUCUGCCCCUGCCCUCAAACAGGAGGCCUGGACGCUACCUGAGACCUCACACAGCCCAGGAGGUGUAAGGAGCCUUACCCGAUCUCCAGGUGGCCCAGGGGGACCCUCAGCCUUGCCAUCCUCGCCCUGUUCCCCCUGUGGAUACAGAACCAGCUUUAGGCAAACAGCCCAUCCUGGGGAGCUGGGGGAAU